AGGACGAACGCUGGCGGCGUGCUUAACACAUGCAAGUCGAGCGGUAAGGCCUUUCGGGGUACACGAGCGGCGAACGGGUGAGUAACACGUGGGUGAUCUGCCCUGCACUCUGGGAUAAGCCUGGGAAACUGGGUCUAAUACCGGAUAUGACCUGCUCUCGCAGUGGGGGGUGGGUGGAAAGAUUUA
RNAcentral lists this ribosomal RNA (186 nucleotides) under uncultured soil bacterium. RNAcentral describes it as "partial 16S ribosomal RNA". It matches the Rfam family "Bacterial small subunit ribosomal RNA", at positions 26 to 212 of the family's 1533-position model. The record is from RNAcentral.